GACGAACGCUGGCGGCGUGCUUAACACAUGCAAGUCGAGCGGUAAGGCCCUUUCGGGGGUACACGAGCGGCGAACGGGUGAGUAACACGUGGGUGACCUGCCCUUAGCUCUGGGAUAAGCCUGGGAAACUGGGUCUAAUACCGGAUAUGACUCCAUGACGCAUGUUGUGGGGUGGAAAGCCUUGUGCGGCUAGGGAUGGGCCCGCGGCCUAUCAGCUUGUUGGUGGGGUGAUGGCCUACCAAGGCGACGACGGGGUAGCCGGCCUGAGAGGGCGACCGGCCACACU
Molecule: ribosomal RNA, 286 nt
Filed under: uncultured bacterium
Lineage: Bacteria
Description: partial 16S ribosomal RNA
Rfam family: Bacterial small subunit ribosomal RNA
Source: RNAcentral